GCGAGGCCGGGCCGGCACACACACAUUAGCACACUUGAGCCAUCACCAAUCAGCAUAGGGAUCUGAGCAGCGCUCGCACACACCAAACCAGCAGCGUCCGCGGAGAAAACUCUCGCCAGCAACUCCUCUAAAGCACCGUCUUUUCCAACCCUGGUGGGCUUCAAGCAGCAACAGCGGCCAGAGAAACCCCAACCGAACCAAACUCUUGACAGGAGCUCUGCCGAGGGAGGAUGCCUCAUAAAGGGGGAAGACUUAACUAGGGGUGCGCAGAUGCGUGAGACCUUUUAUUGUAAAAGUGGACAGACAUCCCAGAUUUCAGGCAAGUUCUGUGGUGGCUGUUUGGGGGUCCAAAACACGAAAGAA
Molecule: long non-coding RNA, 363 nt
Organism: Diceros bicornis minor
Lineage: Eukaryota; Metazoa; Chordata; Mammalia; Perissodactyla; Rhinocerotidae
Exons: 3
Source: RefSeq, a predicted model, not a curated record